UUCGCCCUUUUCCGGUUGAUCCUGCCGGACCUGACUGCUAUCGGAUUGAUACUAAGCCAUGCGAGUCAUUGUAGCAAUACAAGGCAUACGGCUCAGUAACGCGUAGUCAACCUAACCUAUGGACGGGAAUAACCUCGGGAAACUGAGAAUAAUGCCCGAUAGAACACUAUACCUGGAAUGGUUUGUGUUCCAAAUGAUUUAUCGCCGUAGGAUGGGACUGCGGCCUAUCAGUUUGUUGGUGAGGUAAUGGCCCACCAAGACUAUUACAGGUACGGGCUCUGAGAGGAGUAGCCCGGAGAUGGGUACUGAGACACGGACCCAGGCCCUAUGGGGCGCAGCAGGCGAGAAAACUUUGCAAUGUGCGAAAGCACGACAAGGUUAAUCCGAGUGAUUUGUGCUAAACGAAUCUUUUGUUAGUCCUAGAACCACUAACGAAUAAGGGGUGGGCAAGUUCUGGUGUCAGCCGCCGCGGUAAAACCAGCACCUCAAGUGGUCAGGAUGAUUAUUGGGCCUAAAGCAUCCGUAGCCGGCUCUGUAAGUUUUCGGUUAAAUCUGUACGCUUAACGUACAGGCUGCCGGGAAUACUGCAGAGCUAGGGAGUGGGAGAGGUAGACGGUACUCGGUAGGAAGGGGUAAAAUCCUUUGAUCUAUUGAUGACCACCUGUGGCGAAGGCGGUCUACCAGAACACGUCCGACGGUGAGGGAUGAAAGCUGGGGGAGCAAACCGGAUUAGAUACCCGGGUAGUCCCAGCUGUAAACUAUGCAAACUCAGUGAUG
RNAcentral lists this ribosomal RNA (777 nucleotides) under uncultured archaeon. RNAcentral's name for it is "bacterial SSU rRNA". It matches the Rfam family "Archaeal small subunit ribosomal RNA", at positions 1 to 776 of the family's 1478-position model. The record is from RNAcentral.